AUGUUUAUUCUCAACUCUGCAUACGAUUCAUUUCAGGUACGAUAUGUUCUGAUACCGGAUUCGUUGGCUCCUGGUAAUUCGUGGUCGUGUUGCAAACAUAAUAUCCGGAACUGCAAUUCCACGCAAAUGGAAUUCCUUAACGGAUUCAGGGACGCGAUGGUGGAUGCAUUGAAGGUUGUCGAAGAUAAAGAGGGAUGGGGAUUGUUCAUUGAUUCAUGCUUCACUCACUGCCAAACGGUCUCUGACAUCUCUUGGAAUUCACCAUUCUCCCCUAGGCUUGGAGAUAAGACAAUUGCUGAGGCUGUAGGAGAUUGGCAAUGUGGAUGUAGCGAAAGAGUGAAAGAGAUUGACUGCGAGUACCCAUGCAACCCAACAUGCAGUAGACAGUUGCCGUGGAUGUAA
This 402-nucleotide ribosomal RNA is filed under the name Triticum aestivum (bread wheat). Its description in RNAcentral is "partial small subunit ribosomal RNA". The record is from RNAcentral. Lineage: Eukaryota; Viridiplantae; Streptophyta; Magnoliopsida; Poales; Poaceae.